UGCAGUCGACGGCAGCGCGGGAGCAAUCCUGGCGGCGAGUGGCGAACGGGUGAGUAAUACAUCGGAACGUGCCCAAUCGUGGGGGAUAACGCAGCGAAAGCUGUGCUAAUACCGCAUACGAUCUACGGAUGAAAGCAGGGGAUCGCAAGACCUUGCGCGAAUGGAGCGGCCGAUGGCAGAUUAGGUAGUUGGUGAGGUAAAGGCUCACCAAGCCUUCGAUCUGUAGCUGGUCUGAGAGGACGACCAGCCACACUGGGACUGAGACACGGCCCAGACUCCUACGGGAGGCAGCAGUGGGGAAUUUUGGACAAUGGGCGCAAGCCUGAUCCAGCCAUGCCGCGUGCAGGAUGAAGGCCUUCGGGUUGUAAACUGCUUUUGUACGGAACGAAACGGCCUUUUCUAAUAAAGAGGGCUAAUGACGGUACCGUAAGAAUAAGCACCGGCUAACUACGUGCCAGCAGCCGCGGUAAUACGUAGGGUGCAAGCGUUAAUCGGAAUUACUGGGCGUAAAGCGUGCGCAGGCGGUUAUGUAAGACAGUUGUGAAAUCCCCGGGCUCAACCUGGGAACUGCAUCUGUGACUGCAUAGCUAGAGUACGGUAGAGGGGGAUGGAAUUCCGCGUGUAGCAGUGAAAUGCGUAGAUAUGCGGAGGAACACCGAUGGCGAAGGCAAUCCCCUGGACCUGUACUGACGCUCAUGCACG
Molecule: ribosomal RNA, 702 nt
Filed under: Variovorax ginsengisoli
Lineage: Bacteria; Pseudomonadati; Pseudomonadota; Betaproteobacteria; Burkholderiales; Comamonadaceae
Description: bacterial SSU rRNA
Rfam family: Bacterial small subunit ribosomal RNA
Source: RNAcentral